RNAcentral lists this transfer RNA (74 nucleotides) under Planctomycetaceae bacterium. RNAcentral's name for it is "tRNA-Arg". It matches the Rfam family "tRNA". Rfam says of the family: Transfer RNA (tRNA) molecules are approximately 80 nucleotides in length. Their secondary structure includes four short double-helical elements and three loops (D, anti-codon, and T loops). RNAcentral also lists the same sequence under 4 other names. The record is from RNAcentral. Lineage: Bacteria; Pseudomonadati; Planctomycetota; Planctomycetia; Planctomycetales; Planctomycetaceae.
GCACCCCUAGCUCAAUUGGAUAGAGCAUCGGUCUACGGAACCGAAGGUUACUGGUUCGAACCCAGUGGGGUGUA